GUGGGGAAUAUUGGGCAAUGGGCGAAAGCCUGACCCAGCAACGCCGCGUGAAGGAAGAAGGUUUUCGGAUCGUAAACUUCUAUCCUUGGUGAAGAUAAUGACGGUAGCCAAGAAGGAAGCCCCGGCUAACUACGUGCCAGCAGCCGCGGUAAUACGUAGGGGGCAAGCGUUGUCCGGAAUGAUUGGGCGUAAAGGGCGCGUAGGCGGCCCGGUAAGUCUGAAGUGAAAGUGCUGCUUUUAAGGUGGGAAUUGCUUUGGAUACUGUCGGGCUUGAGUGCAGGAGAGGUAAGCGGAAUUCCCGGUGUAGCGGUGAAAUGCGUAGAGAUCGGGAGGAACACCAGUGGCGAAGGCGGCUUACUGGACUGUAACUGACGCUGAGGCGCGAAAGUGUGGGGAGCAAACAGGAUUAGAAACCCGAGUAGUCC
Molecule: ribosomal RNA, 425 nt
Filed under: uncultured bacterium
Lineage: Bacteria
Description: partial 16S ribosomal RNA
Rfam family: Bacterial small subunit ribosomal RNA
Source: RNAcentral